AGAAGAGGCAGUAGCCCUAAGCUUGCCCAACUGGGCAGAGGAUCCUCCUCCAGUCACCACUGGAAGGGCAGGACUGAAUCUGUGAAGCAUUUUGCAAAGCAUUGAAUGAGCACGGAGGGAAUGUCUGAGAGUCCCUGACAAGGGAGAAGAUGGCAGCUGCUGGUGCUGUGAUCACUUCACCUCCUUUUGCUGAUGUACUUAUUCAGUACUACAAUUUGGUUCAACUAAUUAAAUCCUCCUACAAACCCCCCAAAAACCAGCUGAUGAACACCCAUGUUUAAAGGGAUGCUUAAAUAGGGUUCAUCUACCAGUCUUUUAAGACUGCAGCUACUUUUCAUGACUUAAAAUAAUGGUAAGCACUUUAGUCACUCAGUUGCCUUAGGUAACACUGUAUGACACUUGCAUAUUCUUUCACUAACCAUGGUUGUAACCAUAAGUAACCAAGGAAAAAUUAAUUGUUAUUCAAAUGUUGGCCUCUUUCUGUAUCUCUCAGUACUUUGAUUUUCCUGUGCAUCAGUAGAAAACAUCUGCUCCUAUUUGUGCCUGGAAAUGAUUUUGUAUGAUGUCUAAUCCUUUAUAUCAUCUGAAUUCUAUCUGCUGUGAAGUCAGGAACUAUGAAACAAAUAAAGAUGAUUAUAUGUGA
Molecule: long non-coding RNA, 643 nt
Organism: Pogoniulus pusillus (Red-fronted tinkerbird)
Lineage: Eukaryota; Metazoa; Chordata; Aves; Piciformes; Lybiidae
Exons: 3
Source: RefSeq, a predicted model, not a curated record